RNAcentral lists this ribosomal RNA (253 nucleotides) under uncultured bacterium. RNAcentral describes it as "partial 16S ribosomal RNA". It matches the Rfam family "Bacterial small subunit ribosomal RNA", at positions 524 to 776 of the family's 1533-position model. The record is from RNAcentral.
UACAGAGGGGGCAAGCGUUGUUCGGAAUUACUGGGCGUAAAGGGCGCGUAGGCGGCCUGCUAAGUCGGACGUGAAAUCCCUCGGCUCAACCGAGGAACUGCGUCCGAUACUGGUGGGCUUGAAUCCGGGAGAGGGAUGUGGAAUUCCAGGUGUAGCGGUGAAAUGCGUAGAUAUCUGGAGGAACACCGGUGGCGAAGGCGGCAUCCUGGACCGGUAUUGACGCUGAGGCGCGAAAGCUAGGGGAGCAAACGGG